This 796-nucleotide long non-coding RNA is filed under the name Salvia miltiorrhiza (redroot sage). Its description in RNAcentral is "long non-coding RNA (SMIL_LNC000741)". Lineage: Eukaryota; Viridiplantae; Streptophyta; Magnoliopsida; Lamiales; Lamiaceae. The record is from RNAcentral.
AAUAAUAGUAUGUCCUUCUACUGAUAAAACAACACUACCACCUUCAGAGUUGGUCGACCAAUAAAAAGUGAGGAAAGUUGUGAUGUGUGGCAAUUCGAUUGAGUAGGAAGAUUGUGAGUAAUUGAUUGGAAGCGUCUUAAUUAAGGUGGGUUAUAUUUUUUCAAAGUAUAUUUGAGUUAUUAAGCUCUAAUGUUAUUAUUUGAAAUGUGGUAUGUCCAUGAAAUGUUUUCACGUUCUCCCACUGUUUAAUGCUCUUAUGUUAACAAUUGUGGCUUUUAAUGGGUCUCACACACCUAUUAAAAGUUGUGCGCACGGUCUUAAGGUAGUGGAUUGAUCCCCACGAGCCUUAUAGACGAAAGGAGGAUUUUGGGUUCGCCCUUAAUCCGGCUAGAUGGUGUAGCUGACAUGGGUUCGUCCCGGGGUCCCAUCUAGUUAAUGAUGAAUGAAUGAAUGAUUACUUCCCAGGGGUCGCCCAGGGACUACGAAUGAAAUGAUAAGGGUAACAGUGGUGCUACGGUAUGGCGCGCGCAAAUGAAUGAAAAUGUUUUGUGAUUAUAGAAGUUAAAUGUUUUAUUUUAAAACCUUCUAUAAUUCACGUAUGUGCAUGGACUAUCAUAUGAAAAUGAUUAUUUCAAAAAUGCACGACCCACUGGGUACACUAGUACUCAGCCCACAAAUCUUUUCAAUCUUUUCAGGUUAGUAAGAUGGUGGAGACGGAAGCAGCUGUGGCGGGUUGGCUGCAAUAUGUUGAAAUAGCUAGCUAUUAUAUUUAAAAAAUAUGUCAUAUAUUUUGAGU